This 253-nucleotide ribosomal RNA is filed under the name uncultured bacterium. RNAcentral describes it as "partial 16S ribosomal RNA". It matches the Rfam family "Bacterial small subunit ribosomal RNA", at positions 524 to 776 of the family's 1533-position model. The record is from RNAcentral.
UACGGGGGGGGCAAGCGUUGUUCGGAAUUAUUGGGCGUAAAGAGCUCGUAGGUGGUUUGUCGCGUUGUUCGUGAAAACUCACAGCUUAACUGUGGGCGUGCGGGCGAUACGGGCAGACUGGAGUACUGCAGGGGAGACUGGAAUUCCUGGUGUAGCGGUGGAAUGCGCAGAUAUCAGGAGGAACACCGGUGGCGAAGGCGGGUCUCUGGGCAGUAACUGACGCUGAGGAGCGAAAGCGUGGGGAGCGAACAGG